This 1101-nucleotide ribosomal RNA is filed under the name Bacillus safensis. RNAcentral's name for it is "bacterial SSU rRNA". It matches the Rfam family "Bacterial small subunit ribosomal RNA", at positions 376 to 1471 of the family's 1533-position model. Lineage: Bacteria; Bacillati; Bacillota; Bacilli; Caryophanales; Bacillaceae. The record is from RNAcentral.
CGAAAUUCUGACGGAGCAACGCCGCGUGAGUGAUGAAGGUUUUCGGAUCGUAAAGCUCUGUUGUUAGGGAAGAACAAGUGCGAGAGUAACUGCUCGCACCUUGACGGUACCUAACCAGAAAGCCACGGCUAACUACGUGCCAGCAGCCGCGGUAAUACGUAGGUGGCAAGCGUUGUCCGGAAUUAUUGGGCGUAAAGGGCUCGCAGGCGGUUUCUUAAGUCUGAUGUGAAAGCCCCCGGCUCAACCGGGGAGGGUCAUUGGAAACUGGGAAACUUGAGUGCAGAAGAGGAGAGUGGAAUUCCACGUGUAGCGGUGAAAUGCGUAGAGAUGUGGAGGAACACCAGUGGCGAAGGCGACUCUCUGGUCUGUAACUGACGCUGAGGAGCGAAAGCGUGGGGAGCGAACAGGAUUAGAUACCCUGGUAGUCCACGCCGUAAACGAUGAGUGCUAAGUGUUAGGGGGUUUCCGCCCCUUAGUGCUGCAGCUAACGCAUUAAGCACUCCGCCUGGGGAGUACGGUCGCAAGACUGAAACUCAAAGGAAUUGACGGGGGCCCGCACAAGCGGUGGAGCAUGUGGUUUAAUUCGAAGCAACGCGAAGAACCUUACCAGGUCUUGACAUCCUCUGACAACCCUAGAGAUAGGGCUUUCCCUUCGGGGACAGAGUGACAGGUGGUGCAUGGUUGUCGUCAGCUCGUGUCGUGAGAUGUUGGGUUAAGUCCCGCAACGAGCGCAACCCUUGAUCUUAGUUGCCAGCAUUCAGUUGGGCACUCUAAGGUGACUGCCGGUGACAAACCGGAGGAAGGUGGGGAUGACGUCAAAUCAUCAUGCCCCUUAUGACCUGGGCUACACACGUGCUACAAUGGACAGAACAAAGGGCUGCAAGACCGCAAGGUUUAGCCAAUCCCAUAAAUCUGUUCUCAGUUCGGAUCGCAGUCUGCAACUCGACUGCGUGAAGCUGGAAUCGCUAGUAAUCGCGGAUCAGCAUGCCGCGGUGAAUACGUUCCCGGGCCUUGUACACACCGCCCGUCACACCACGAGAGUUUGCAACACCCGAAGUCGGUGAGGUAACCUUUAUGGAGCCAGCCGCCGAAGGUGGCAGG